CCUACGGGAGGCAGCAGUGAGGAAUAUUGGUCAAUGGACGAGAGUCUGAACCAGCCAAGUAGCGUGAAGGAUGACUGCCCUAUGGGUUGUAAACUUCUUUUAUAUGGGAAUAAAACAGGGUAGGCAUACACUCUUGUAUGUACCAUAUGAAUAAGGAACGGCUAACGCCGUGCCAGCAGCCGCGGUAAUACGGAGGAUCCGAGCGUUAUCCGGAGUUAGUGGGUUGAAAGGGAGCGUAGGUGGGUUGUUAAGUCAGUUGGGAAAGUUUGCGGCUCAACCGUAAAAUUGCAGUGGAAACUGGCAGUCUUGAGUACCGUAGAGGUGGGCGGCAUUCGUGGUGUCGCGGU
This 347-nucleotide ribosomal RNA is filed under the name uncultured bacterium. RNAcentral's name for it is "partial 16S ribosomal RNA". It matches the Rfam family "Bacterial small subunit ribosomal RNA", at positions 338 to 682 of the family's 1533-position model. The record is from RNAcentral.